RNAcentral lists this ribosomal RNA (467 nucleotides) under uncultured bacterium. RNAcentral describes it as "partial 16S ribosomal RNA". It matches the Rfam family "Bacterial small subunit ribosomal RNA", at positions 28 to 507 of the family's 1533-position model. The record is from RNAcentral.
GACGAACGCUGGCGGCGUGCUUAACACAUGCAAGUCGAACGGAAAGGCCCUGCUUUUGUGGGGUGCUCGAGUGGCGAACGGGUGAGUAACACGUGAGUAACCUGCCCUUGACUUUGGGAUAACUUCAGGAAACUGGGGCUAAUACCGGAUAGGAGCUCCUGCUGCAUGGUGGGGGUUGGAAAGUUUCGGCGGUUGGGGAUGGACUCGCGGCUUAUCAGCUUGUUGGUGGGGUAGUGGCUUACCAAGGCUUGACGGGUAGCAGGCCUGAGAGGGUGACCGGCCACAUUGGGACUGAGAUACGGCCCAGACUCCUACGGGAGGCAGCAGUGGGGAAUAUUGCACAAUGGGCGGAAGCCUGAUGCAGCAACGCCGCGUGCGGGAUGACGGCCUUCGGGUUGUAAACCGCUUUCGCCUGUGACGAAGCGUGAGUGACGGUAAUGGGUAAAGAAGCACCGGCUAACUACGUG